GAUGAACGCUAGCGGCAGGCUUAACACAUGCAAGUCGAGGGGUAGGAAUUAGCUUGCUAAUUUGAGACCGGCGCACGGGUGCGUAACGCGUAUGCCAACCUACCUUUCACAAAGGGAUAGCCCAGAGAAAUUUGGAUUAAUACCUUAUAGUAUAUCGAUGUGGCAUCACAAUGAUAUUAAAGUUCCAACGGUGAAAGAUG
This 200-nucleotide ribosomal RNA is filed under the name uncultured bacterium. RNAcentral describes it as "partial 16S ribosomal RNA". It matches the Rfam family "Bacterial small subunit ribosomal RNA", at positions 28 to 227 of the family's 1533-position model. The record is from RNAcentral.